Molecule: ribosomal RNA, 495 nt
Filed under: uncultured bacterium
Lineage: Bacteria
Description: partial 16S ribosomal RNA
Rfam family: Bacterial small subunit ribosomal RNA
Source: RNAcentral
GACGAACGCUGGCGGCGUGCCUAAUACAUGCGAGUAGAACGCUGAAGGAGGAGCUUGCUUCUCUGGAUGAGUUGCGAACGGGUGAGUAACGCGUAGGUAACCUGCCUGGUAGCGGGGGAUAACUAUUGGAAACGAUAGCUAAUACCGCAUAAUAGUAGAUGUUGCAUGACAUUUGCUUAAAAGGUGCAAUUGCAUCACUACCAGAUGGACCUGCGUUGUAUUAGCUAGUUGGUGAGGUAACGGCUCACCAAGGCAACGAUACAUAGCCGACCUGAGAGGGUGAUCGGCCACACUGGGACUGAGACACGGCCCAGACUCCUACGGGAGGCAGCAGUAGGGAAUCUUCGGCAAUGGACGGAAGUCUGACCGAGCAACGCCGCGUGAGUGAAGAAGGUUUUCGGAUCGUAAAGCUCUGUUGUAAGAGAAGAACGAGUGUGAGAGUGGAAAGUUCACACUGUGACGGUAUCUUAACAGAAAGGGACGGCUAACUACGUG